UUUCCGUAGGUGAACCUGCGGAAGGAUCAUUAUUGUAGGGACUCCGGUCCCCUCAAGAUGCAACCCGUGCCUUUUUUGUAGCCCGUAACGUUUCCUCGGCAGCCCCGCUGCCAGCGAGGACCCCCCCCAAACCAAACCUGCAAUCUCAGUAAAAAUUUCAGAAACCCCCCAAAAUUUAAAACUUUCAACAAUGGAUCUCUUGGCUCUGGCAUCGAUGAAGAACGCAGC
This 228-nucleotide unclassified non-coding RNA is filed under the name uncultured fungus. Its description in RNAcentral is "sequence contains ITS1, 5.8S rRNA gene". The stretch from base 180 to 228 matches the Rfam family "5.8S ribosomal RNA", at positions 1 to 49 of the family's 154-position model. The record is from RNAcentral. Lineage: Eukaryota; Fungi.